Molecule: ribosomal RNA, 301 nt
Filed under: uncultured bacterium
Lineage: Bacteria
Description: partial 16S ribosomal RNA
Rfam family: Bacterial small subunit ribosomal RNA
Source: RNAcentral
CAGCCGCCACGGUAAUACGUAGGGUGCGAGCGUUAAUCGGAAUUACUGGGCGUAAAGCGUGCGCAGGCGGUGAUGUAAGACAGUUGUGAAAUCCCCGGGCUCAACCUGGGAACUGCAUCUGUGACUGCAUCGCUGGAGUGCGGCAGAGGGGGAUGGAAUUCCGCGUGUAGCAGUGAAAUGCGUAGAUAUGCGGAGGAACACCGAUUGCGAAGGCAAUCCCCUGGGCCUGCACUGACGCUCAUGCACGAAAGCGUGGGGAGCAAACAGGAUUAGAUACCCCCGUAGUCCCUGUCUCUUAUAC